Molecule: ribosomal RNA, 119 nt
Organism: Lepisosteus oculatus (spotted gar)
Lineage: Eukaryota; Metazoa; Chordata; Actinopteri; Semionotiformes; Lepisosteidae
Source: Ensembl
ACCAGCAGCCAUAUUACCCUGCAACUCACAACUGGCAACCCACUAAAGCUAAGCAGGUGUGAGCCUGGUCAGUACCUGGAUGGGAGACCUCCUGGGAAAAACUAAGGUUGCUGCUGGAA